CUCUUGAGAGCGGCGGACGGGUGAGUAAUGCCUAGGAAUCUGCCUGGUAGUGGGGGAUAACGCUCGGAAACGGACGCUAAUACCGCAUACGUCCUACGGGAGAAAGCAGGGGACCUUCGGGCCUUGCGCUAUCAGAUGAGCCUAGGUCGGAUUAGCUAGUUGGUGGGGUAAUGGCUCACCAAGGCGACGAUCCGUAACUGGUCUGAGAGGAUGAUCAGUCACACUGGAACUGAGACACGGUCCAGACUCCUACGGGAGGCAGCAGUGGGGAAUAUUGGACAAUGGGCGAAAGCCUGAUCCAGCCAUGCCGCGUGUGUGAAGAAGGUCUUCGGAUUGUAAAGCACUUUAAGUUGGGAGGAAGGGCAGUUGCUUAAUACGUGACUGUUUUGACGUUACCGACAGAAUAAGCACCGGCUAACUCUGUGCCAGCAGCCGCGGUAAUACAGAGGGUGCAAGCGUUAAUCGGAAUUACUGGGCGUAAAGCGCGCGUAGGUGGUUUGUUAAGUUGAAUGUGAAAUCCCCGGGCUCAACCUGGGA
Molecule: ribosomal RNA, 537 nt
Filed under: uncultured Pseudomonas sp.
Lineage: Bacteria; Pseudomonadati; Pseudomonadota; Gammaproteobacteria; Pseudomonadales; Pseudomonadaceae
Description: bacterial SSU rRNA
Rfam family: Bacterial small subunit ribosomal RNA
Source: RNAcentral